UAUGUGAUCGUCUCUCGCAUAUCAAUAAGCGGAGGAAAAGAAACUAACAAGGAUUCCCCUAGUAACGGCGAGUGAAGCGGGAAGAGCUCAAAUUUGAAAUCUUAAAGGGUUUCCCUUUACGAAUUGUAGUUUAAAGAAGUGUUUUCUGUUGAGGUUUUGGUAAAAGUUCUUUGGAAUAGGACAUCAUAGAGGGUGAGAAUCCCGUAUUUGACCUUUACUUUCAACUUUGUGAUACACUUUCAAAGAGUCGGAUUGUUUGGGAAUGCAGUCCAAAAUGGGUGGUAAAUUUCAUCUAAAGCUAAAUAUUGGCGAGAGACCGAUAGCGAACAAGUACCGUGAGGGAAAGAUGAAAAGAACUUUGAAAAGAGAGUUAAACAGUACGUGAAAUUGUCAAAAGGGAAGCGUUUGACACCAGUGUUGUUUUUCUGAAAAUCAAUUAAAGAACUGUUUAUGCUAAGUUGUUUAGACUUUAUCAGCUAUCUGUUUAGUUUUGAGCUUUUCUUUAAUGCACUUUUCAGUUAACAAGUCAACAUCAAUUUCUUUUGCUGUAAAAAAGCUUGAGGAAGGUGGCUUGAGAUUCGUCUUAAGUGUUUAUAGCCUCUUGCCUAUGCAGUCGGAGAGAUUGAGGUCUGCAGCGUAGAUCCUUCGGGGCUAAAUGCAUUUGUGCUAAGUUAUAACAUUUUAUAGACAACUUGUUAACUAUGAUUUGUCUUGUAGCUUACUCGCUUAUGUUAUUUUACCUACGCUUAGGAUGUUGAAGACUCUACAGAGAUA
RNAcentral lists this ribosomal RNA (774 nucleotides) under uncultured Neocallimastigales. RNAcentral's name for it is "partial large subunit ribosomal RNA". It matches the Rfam family "Eukaryotic large subunit ribosomal RNA", at positions 24 to 633 of the family's 3401-position model. The record is from RNAcentral. Lineage: Eukaryota; Fungi; Neocallimastigomycota; Neocallimastigomycetes; Neocallimastigales.